RNAcentral lists this ribosomal RNA (491 nucleotides) under uncultured bacterium. RNAcentral describes it as "partial 16S ribosomal RNA". It matches the Rfam family "Bacterial small subunit ribosomal RNA", at positions 29 to 506 of the family's 1533-position model. The record is from RNAcentral.
AGUGAACGCUGGCGGUAGGCCUAACACAUGCAAGUCGAACGGCAGCACAGUAAGAGCUUGCUCUUACGGGUGGCGAGUGGCGGACGGGUGAGGAAUACAUCGGAAUCUACUUUUUCGUGGGGGAUAACGUAGGGAAACUUACGCUAAUACCGCAUACGACCUACGGGUGAAAGCAGGGGAUCUUCGGACCUUGCGCGAUUGAAUGAGCCGAUGUCGGAUUAGCUAGUUGGCGGGGUAAAGGCCCACCAAGGUGACGAUCCGUAGCUGGUCUGAGAGGAUGAUCAGCCACACUGGAACUGAGACACGGUCCAGACUCCUACGGGAGGCAGCAGUGGGGAAUAUUGGACAAUGGGCGCAAGCCUGAUCCAGCCAUACCGCGUGGGUGAAGAAGGCCUUCGGGUUGUAAAGCCCUUUUGUUGGGAAAGAAAAGCAGCAGGUUAAUACCCCGCUGUUCGGACGGUACCCAAAGAAUAAGCACCGGCUAACUUCGU